This 524-nucleotide ribosomal RNA is filed under the name uncultured bacterium. RNAcentral describes it as "partial 16S ribosomal RNA". It matches the Rfam family "Bacterial small subunit ribosomal RNA", at positions 355 to 874 of the family's 1533-position model. The record is from RNAcentral.
UGGGGAAUUUUGGACAAUGGGCGAAAGCCUGAUCCAGCAAUGCCGCGUGUGUGAAGAAGGCCUUCGGGUUGUAAAGCACUUUUGUCCGGAAAGAAAUCCUUGGCUCUAAUACAGUCGGGGGAUGACGGUACCGGAAGAAUAAGCACCGGCUAACUACGUGCCAGCAGCCGCGGUAAUACGUAGGGUGCAAGCGUUAAUCGGAAUUACUGGGCGUAAAGCGUGCGCAGGCGGUUUGCUAAGACCGAUGUGAAAUCCCCGGGCUCAACCUGGGAACUGCAUUGGUGACUGGCAGGCUAGAGUAUGGCAGAGGGGGGUAGAAUUCCACGUGUAGCAGUGAAAUGCGUAGAGAUGUGGAGGAAUACCGAUGGCGAAGGCAGCCCCCUGGGCCAAUACUGACGCUCAUGCACGAAAGCGUGGGGAGCAAACAGGAUUAGAUACCCUGGUAGUCCACGCCCUAAACGAUGUCAACUAGUGUUGGGGAUUCAUUCCUUAGUAACGUAGCUAACGCGUGAAGUUGACCGCCU